This 496-nucleotide ribosomal RNA is filed under the name uncultured bacterium. RNAcentral's name for it is "partial 16S ribosomal RNA". It matches the Rfam family "Bacterial small subunit ribosomal RNA", at positions 899 to 1397 of the family's 1533-position model. The record is from RNAcentral.
ACUCAAAGGAAUAGACGGGGGCCCGCACAAGCGGCGGAGCAUGCGGAUUAAUUCGAUGCAACGCGAAGAACCUUACCUGGGUUUGACAUACACCGGAAAGCUGCAGAGAUGUAGCCCCUUUUAGUCGGUGUACAGGUGGUGCAUGGCUGUCGUCAGCUCGUGUCGUGAGAUGUUGGGUUAAGUCCCGCAACGAGCGCAACCCUCGUCCUAUGUUGCCAGCACGUCGUGGUGGGGACUCAUAGGAGACUGCCGGGGUCAACUCGGAGGAAGGUGGGGAUGACGUCAAGUCAUCAUGCCCCUUAUGUCCAGGGCUUCACGCAUGCUACAAGGGCCGGUACAAAGGGCUGCGAUGCUGUAAGGCGGAGCGAAUCCCAAAAAGCCGGUCUCAGUUCGGAUUGGGGUCUGCAACUCGACCCCAUGAAGUCGGAGUCGCUAGUAAUCGCAGAUCAGCAACGCUGCGGUGAAUACGUUCCCGGGCCUUGCACACACCGCCCGU